RNAcentral lists this non-coding RNA (111 nucleotides) under Bacillus sp. (in: firmicutes). RNAcentral describes it as "Bacillus sp. SAM-I sequence". It matches the Rfam family "SAM riboswitch aptamer (S box leader)". From Rfam's summary of the family: The SAM riboswitch is found upstream of a number of genes which code for proteins involved in methionine or cysteine biosynthesis in Gram-positive bacteria. The SAM riboswitch acts at the level of transcription termination control. Lineage: Bacteria; Bacillati; Bacillota; Bacilli; Caryophanales; Bacillaceae. The record is from RNAcentral.
CUCUUAUCGAGAGAGGUGGAGGGACUGUGCCCUGUGAAACCCAGCAACCGUCAAUGAUUGUCAUUGAAAUGGUGCUAAUUCCUGCAAAGCAUAUGCUUUGAGAGAUGAGAG